RNAcentral lists this ribosomal RNA (468 nucleotides) under uncultured bacterium. RNAcentral describes it as "partial 16S ribosomal RNA". It matches the Rfam family "Bacterial small subunit ribosomal RNA", at positions 28 to 507 of the family's 1533-position model. The record is from RNAcentral.
GAUGAACGCUGGCGGCGUGCUUAACACAUGCAAGUCGAACGGAAAGGCUCCUGCUUGCAGGGGUACUCGAGUGGCGAACGGGUGAGUAACACGUGGGUGAUCUGCCCUGUACUUCGGGAUAAGCUUGGGAAACUGGGUCUAAUACCGGAUAGGACAACUUUUUGGAUAUUGUUGUGGAAAGCUUUUGCGGUAUGGGAUGAGCUCGCGGCCUAUCAGCUUGUUGGUGGGGUAAUGGCCUACCAAGGCGUCGACGGGUAGCCGGCCUGAGAGGGUGUACGGCCACAUUGGGACUGAGAUACGGUCCAGACUCCUACGGGAGGCAGCAGUGGGGAAUAUUGCACAAUGGGCGCAAGCCUGAUGCAGCGACGCCGCGUGGGGGAUGAAGGCCUUCGGGUUGUAAACUCCUUUCGCUAGGGACGAAGCUUUUUUGUGACGGUACCUGGAGAAGAAGCACCGGCUAACUACGUG